GUCUCGCCCCAUUCCGAGUCCGGCGGACGAAGUUGGCCAGCCCCACCCCCCAAGGCUAUAGCCCACCCGUUUUUGUGGCCUUUUUCCGCUGGACGAACUUGGCGCUCCGGCCUUCGGGCGGUUGUUUUUGGGCGCGGCUUUGUCCGCGGCCAAUUUUUGGCACACGGAGGCCCCUCGCAAAGGCUCACGGCAUUCCGAGUCCGGCGGACGAAGUUGGCCAGCCCCACCCCCCAAUGCUAUAGCCCACCCGUUUUUGUGGCCUUUUUCUGCUGGGCGAGCUUGGCGCCCCGGCCUUCAGGUGGUUAAUUUUGGGCGCGGCUUUGCUCGCGGCCUAUUUUUGGCACAUGGAGGCCCCUCGUAAAGUCUUGCGGCAUUCCGAGUCCGGCGGACGAAGUUGGCCAGCCCCACCCCCCAAUGCUAUAGCCCACCCGUUUUUGUGGCCUUUUUCUGCUGGGCGAACUUGGCGCCCCGGCCUUCAGGUGGUUAAUUUUGGGCGCGGCUUGGCUCGCGGCCUAUUUUUGGCACAUCGAGGCCCCUCGCAAAGUCUCGCGGCAUUCCGAGUCCGGCGGAUGAAGUUGGCAAGCCCCACCCCCCAAGGCUAUAGCCCACCCGUUUUUGUGGCCUUUUUCCGCUGGACGAAGAUGGCGCCCCGGCCUUCGGGCUGUUAUUUUUGGGCGCAGCUUUGCCCGUGGCCUAUUUUUUGUACACGGAGGCCCCUCGCAAAGUCUCGUCCCAUUCCGAGUCCGGCGGAGGAAGUUGGCCAGCCCCACCCCCCAAGGCUAUAGCCCACCCGUUUUUGUGGCCUUUUUCCGCUGGACGAACUUGGCGCUCCGGCCUUCGGGCGGUUGUUUUUGAGCGCGGCUUUGUCCGCGUCCAAUUUUUGGCACACGGAGGCCCCUCGCAAAGGCUCGCGGCAUUCCGAGUCCGGCGGACGAAGUGGGCCAGCCCCACCCCCCAAUGCUAUAGCCCACCCAUUUUUGUGGCCUUUUUCUGCUGGGCGAGCUUGGCGCCCCGGCCUUCAGGCGGUUAAUUUUGGGCGGGGCUUUGCUCGCGGCCUAUUUUUGGCACAUGGAGGCCCCUCGCAAAGUCUCGCGGCAUUCCGAGUCCGGCGGACGAAGUCGGCCAGCCCCACCCCCCAAGCCUAUAGCCCACCAGUUUUUGUGGCCUUUUUGCGCUGGACGAAAUUGGCGCCCCGGCCUUCGGGCAUUUAUUUUUGGGCGUGGCUUUUCCCGCGGCCUAUUUUUGGCAAACGGAGGUCCCUCGUAAAGUCUCGCGGCAUUCCGAGUCCAGCGGACGAAGUUGGACAGCCCCACCCCCCAAGGCUAUAGCCCACCCGUUUUUGUGCCCUUUUUCCGCUGGACGAACUUGGCGCCCCGGCCUUCGGGCGGUUAUUUUUGGACGCGGCUUUGCCCGCGGCCUAUUUUUGGCACACGGAGGUCCCUCGUAAAGUCUCGCGGCAUUCCGAGUCCGGCGGACGAAGUUGGCCAGCCCCACCCCCCAAGGCUAUAGCCCACCCGUUUUUGUGGCCUUUUUCCGCUGGACGAACUUGGCGCCCCGGCCUUCGGGCAGUUAUUUUUGGGCGCGGCUUUGUCCACGGCCUACUUUUGGCACACGGAGUCCCCUCGUAAAGUCUCUAGGCAUUCCGAGUCCGGCGGACGAAGUUGGCCAGCUCCACCCCCCAAGGAUAUAGCCCACCCGUUUUUGUGGCCUUUUUCCGCUGGACGAACUUGGCGCCCCUGCCUUCGGGUGGUUAUUUUUGGGCGCGGCUUUGCCCACUGCCUAUUUUUGGCACACGGAGGCCCCUCGUAAAUUCUCGCGGCAUUCCGAGUCUGGCUGACGAAGUUGGCCAGCCCCACCCCCCAAGGCUCUAGCCCACCCGUUUUUGUGGCCUUUUUCCGCUGGACGACUUGGCGCCCCGCCCUUCGGGCAGUUAUUUUUGGACACGGCUUUGCCCGCGGCCUAUUUUUGGCACACGGAGGCCCCUCGCAAAGUCUCGCGGCAUUCCGAGUCCGGCGGACGAAGUUGGCCAGCCCCACCCCCCAAGGCUAUAGCCCACCCGUUUUUGUGGCCUUUUUCCGCUGGACGAACUUGGCGCCCCGGCCUUCGGGCGGUUAUUUUUGGGUUCGGCUUUGCCCGCGGCCUACUUUUGGCACACGGAGGCCCCUCGUAAAGUCUCGCGGCAUUCCGAGUCCGGCGGACGAAGUUGGCCAGCCCCACCCCCCAAGGCUAUAGCCCACCCGUUUUUGUGGCCUUUUUCCGCUGGACGAACUUGGCGCCCCGGCCUUCGGGCAGUUAUUUUUGGGCGCGGCUUUGUCCGCGGCCUACUUUUGGCACACGGAGGCUCCUCGUAUUGUCUCGCGGCAUUCCGAGUCCGGCUGACGAAGUUGGCCAGCCCCACCCCCCAAGACUCUAGCCCACCCGUUUUUG
RNAcentral lists this long non-coding RNA (2427 nucleotides) under Citrus x clementina. RNAcentral describes it as "Citrus clementina (C. clementina) long non-coding RNA (CCLE_LNC006287)". The record is from RNAcentral. Lineage: Eukaryota; Viridiplantae; Streptophyta; Magnoliopsida; Sapindales; Rutaceae.